RNAcentral lists this ribosomal RNA (93 nucleotides) under uncultured bacterium. RNAcentral's name for it is "partial 16S ribosomal RNA". It matches the Rfam family "Bacterial small subunit ribosomal RNA", at positions 1390 to 1482 of the family's 1533-position model. The record is from RNAcentral.
CCGCCCGUCACACCAUGGGAGUUUGUUGCACCAGAAGCAGGUAGCUUAACCGCAAGGGGGGCGCUUGCCACGGUGUGGCCGAUGACUGGGGUG